AUACGGAGGAUCCGAGCGUUAUCCGGAUUUAUUGGGUUUAAAGGGAGCGUAGGUGGAUUGUUAAGUCAGUUGGGAAAGUUUGCGGCUCAACCGUAAAAUUGCAGUUGAAACUGGCAGUCUUGAGUACAGUAGAGGUGGGCGGAAUUCGUGGUGUAGCGGUGAAAUGCUUAGAUAUCACGAAGAACUCCGAUUGCGAAGGCAGCUCACUAGACUAUUACUGACGCUGAUGCUCGAAAGUGGGGGUAUCAAACAGGAUUAGAUACCCUGCUAGUCCACACAGUAAACGAUUAAUACUCGCUGUUUGCGAUAUACAGUAAGCGGCCAAGCGAAAACAUUAAAUAUACAACCUUGGGAGUACGCUGGCACCGGGGAAACUCAAAGUAAUUGAAAGAG
RNAcentral lists this ribosomal RNA (393 nucleotides) under uncultured bacterium. RNAcentral describes it as "partial 16S ribosomal RNA". It matches the Rfam family "Bacterial small subunit ribosomal RNA", at positions 523 to 918 of the family's 1533-position model. The record is from RNAcentral.